GUGUGAAUUGCAGAAUUCCGUGAACCAUCGAAUCUUUGAACGCAAAUUGCGCUCGAGGCCUCGGCCAAGAGCAUGUCUGCCUCAGCGUCGGCU
This 93-nucleotide ribosomal RNA is filed under the name Trebouxia sp. 13 GS-2016. RNAcentral's name for it is "partial 5.8S ribosomal RNA". It matches the Rfam family "5.8S ribosomal RNA", at positions 65 to 154 of the family's 154-position model. Rfam says of the family: 5.8S ribosomal RNA (5.8S rRNA) is a component of the large subunit of the eukaryotic ribosome. It is transcribed by RNA polymerase I as part of the 45S precursor that also contains 18S and 28S rRNA. The record is from RNAcentral. Lineage: Eukaryota; Viridiplantae; Chlorophyta; Trebouxiophyceae; Trebouxiales; Trebouxiaceae.